RNAcentral lists this ribosomal RNA (468 nucleotides) under uncultured bacterium. RNAcentral's name for it is "partial 16S ribosomal RNA". It matches the Rfam family "Bacterial small subunit ribosomal RNA", at positions 28 to 507 of the family's 1533-position model. The record is from RNAcentral.
GACGAACGCUGGCGGCGUGCCUAAUACAUGCAAGUCGAACGGAAAGGCCCUGCUUUUGUGGGGUGCUCGAGUGGCGAACGGGUGAGUAACAGGGAAGUAAGCUGAGCUAAACUGUGGGGUAACUUGAGGAAACUAGGGGUAACAACGGCUAGGAGCUCAUGCUGCAUGGUGGGGGUUGGAAAGUUUCGGAGGUUGGGGAUGGACUCGCGGCUUAAUAGCAUGUGGGUGGGGUAGUGGGUUAGCAAGGCUUUGACGGGUAGACGGCCUGAGAGGGUGACCCGCCACAUUCGCCCUCAGAUACCACCCAUACUCCUACGGCAGGCAUGAGUGAGGAAUAGUGCACAAUGCGCCGAGUCCUGAUGCAGCAACUCCGCGUGGUGAAUGACGGUCUUCAGGUUGUAACCCGCGUUCGCCUGGGACGUAGCCUGAGUGACGGUAAUUGAUAAAAAAGCACCGGCUAACUACGUG